CACAAUAUUACAAAAUGUCUGAAAGCAGAUAUUUCCAAAGAAUUCUGGGAGCACAAGCAAACACCUUCCUUUCUCCUGCUUAUGUCUGGGGGAAAGCGGAUAAUGAGUUAUCCUUUUCACAAUCACUGUUCAGUGGAUUUUUGGCCACAUUAUUCGGAACAAAUAUAAACAGGAUUAAAGGCGCGCAGGCAUUUGUCACGGGGAAGUGUACCCGGCUGUGCUGGGAAAUGGACUUUUCGAUGAGCGCGGGAGCCUGAACUGUCGCAGAGGGGAGAGCCGGUGUUAUUGCAGCCUGCCGGGCCGCGGUGGCCGUCACCUGUGUUAUCGGCGGUGGCAGGCAUCACCUCCCACUGAAAGCAUCCCAUUACGAGCCAAUGCAGCGCAGAGAGAUGCCAGCUCAUCACGCUCAGAAGGGGUCGCUGAGGAUGUGCUCUGUGCCAGAGACCGAGGCACCCCGUCCUGCCAUCCUCCUAACAAUUCACGAAGAGGUCCCGAUGCCCUGAUAUCCCACAUGACGGAUGGAGAACUUGAGGCACUUGUCUACGUGAGGCACUUCACCGCCGACCACAGAGCUAGCGAGGGACGUGGCUGGCUACCUCUGCCCGGUGAUGUCGCACCUGUCCCAAGAACAGGUGCCUUUUCAGGCUCGGCCAGGACACAGGAGGCUGCGUGGUGGAGUGGACCGAGUAGAUGGACCUGGGCUCAAGCCCCCGUGCUUCCUCCAGCUGGCUGUGUGACCCAGGAAAUCACACACUCGCUCUGAGUCAUAAUUUUUUUCAGGCUUAGCUUGACCCCAUCUCUGGGGCUGGAGCCAGCACCCAUCAGGGCAUACCUCCGAGGGGUGCCCCCGGGGCUCAGGGUUUGCCCACAUGGCUAAUUGUCAGAGGCACUGCCAGGGCAGCUGCCCCUCGGCGAGGCCCUGGGAGAGAGGAGGGAGGGAGGCAUUGGCUGUGGA
Eptesicus fuscus (big brown bat) is the source of this 955-nucleotide long non-coding RNA. RefSeq lists it as uncharacterized. The record is from RefSeq and is a predicted model, not a curated record. The transcript is spliced from 4 exons. NCBI's taxonomy places the organism in Eukaryota, Metazoa, Chordata, Mammalia, Chiroptera, Vespertilionidae.